AUAAAGUUUGAUUAUUUCUUUAUUUCUUGUAGUAGUAUUGAGUUUGUAUGAAAGUCAAAGCGAGUAAAUAAUAAAAGUUUAAGAUAAUUAUUAAGUGUUAAAUGUAGUAAAUAUACUAUAAACUAUUAAAUCUCAGCAUAUAAUAUUAGAUAAUUUAAUAAUUUAAGAUCUAGUAAUACGUUAAAGCUUGAUCAAUAUUGUGCCAGCAGUCGCGGUUACACUUUAAAGUUAAAUAAGAAAUAUUGGGCUAUUGUUAAGUGAAAUAAUUUAAUUGGAAAAAAUCUAAAAGGUAAAAAAGUGAAAUUGGAUUAUCUUAUUAUAGAAUUAUGAAAAAUGAUCAAUUAAAGCUGAAGCAAUAGAAUACUGGAUUUAAACUAGGAUUAGAUACCCUAUUAUACCUGAGAAUAAUUAAUAUAAGCCUAAGUAGUAUUAGAUAUAUUCUAUAAAUUUGAAGAAUUUGGCGGUAAUUUAGUCUAGUCAGAGGAACCUGUUUUUGAAUCGAUAAACCACGAAGAAUCUUACUCAAUUUUGUAAAGUAUGUAUACCAUCAUUAUUAGGUAAUUUUUAUAAAACAAAUUACUAGAACUUAAUAAUGUUAAAUAUAUUAGAUCAAGGUGCAGCUUAUAAUUGAGUUAAAAUGGGUUACAAUAAAAUUUAUUUAUUACGGAUAAUUAAAUGUAAAUUAUUUAGAAGGAGGAUUUGAUUGUAAAAUAGAUUUAAUAUGUCUAUUAGAUAUAAGCUCUAAAUUAUGUACAUAUCGCCCGUCGCUUUCAUUUUAAGAUGAGAUAAGUCGUAACAUAGUAGACUUACUGGAAAGUGAGUCUGGAUAGGA
This 832-nucleotide non-coding RNA is filed under the name Thalamita sima. Lineage: Eukaryota; Metazoa; Arthropoda; Malacostraca; Decapoda; Portunidae. The record is from RNAcentral.